This is a long non-coding RNA of Mastomys coucha (southern multimammate mouse), 1550 nucleotides long. RefSeq lists it as uncharacterized. The record is from RefSeq and is a predicted model, not a curated record. The transcript has 6 exons. NCBI's taxonomy places the organism in Eukaryota, Metazoa, Chordata, Mammalia, Rodentia, Muridae.
UUUUAAACCUCAUCCUCCAGAGUCUUCUUUUGUCAAAAUAUGCGAAUGCAAAGAAGAACUCCUAUUUAUUAUUGUUUUGAAGAGUUUGAAGAGCUAAGGUGUUUUCCCUGAGACUCGGUUUCAAAAUCAACAAACGGCCACCUGGCCUGAAAGAAAGGAGAAAUGGGGUCAGCUCCGUCAUCAGUCCUGGGCAUUAACAAGCCAAGUGGCGAGAGAACGCUCCUCGUCCCUGAUGUCCCCCAGUAAUGCUUCAGAAGCUGUCCAACCAGCAACCCUCCCCCCCCCCCGCCCCAGGUGUGGGGAGGGCCAGGCAGAAAGGUCACAGUGUUUGGUGUCUCGCCAUGACUGAGAGGGCUUGUUCGCCCGGCUUUUAAAAACUUAGAAUGGUGCCUCCCCCUACUCCCAAGGGUGAGAGAGAAGCCAAGUGUCCACAUUGUUAACUGUCAACGGAUCGUUCCCUCUCUGGUACAAUCGGAAUGCCAAGGAGGUGGGCCUAAAAAGCCCAAGGUAGUUAUAAACAUCUUUGGAAGUCGUUUUCAAACCAACACUGCCCAAGGACGAGGCCUAGAUUUAGGAGCAUCCCUCCAGCGCAGGACUUUACACAAGCCGCUUCCUCUGCCCGGAACACGCCAACUCAUCCUUCCUGUCUGGACUGGAGCCGUACCACUUCCUCAAGGAGACUGCCCAGCUGCCCUAACUAGGCCAAACCUCUCUGGGACACCAAGUACCUCAUGGCAGGACUAUGGUUAAGAUGUGAUAUAGAUUCAUGAGGUUACUGUGUCUCACUGCUACGGUGAAUGAAUGUCCAGGAGGAGUCUUUUUUUCUCUCUGAUUGGAAGGUCUAGUGCCCAGAUUGCUUAAAGAGGAAAAAUGUCAAAUGCACAGAAUCCUUCAGAGAACCAGCGGGCCCUGCCCUGAGCCCAGGCUAAUUAAGUGAGUGACUUAAGGGAGCUGCCUUCUCUUCAAGAUUAAGAGAGCCAACCUUCCUUUGCUGCACAUCUUGGCUGUUCCUGGUCCCCCUAUUAAUAGUAAUUCCCUCUAUCAAUAGCUCUUCCAUUAUGGUACCAGAGGAUUCCAGGAAAGUCUAACCAAGAUGUGUGCCAACCACAACAUUGAUACCAAGUGGGCACCACCGCUUUGCUAUCUGUUUAUCUCUUCAGACCUAUUUCUAAAGGUAUCUGAAGCAAUCCCGCAGAAUCCUGAGACAUCCUUUCUGCCUGAAGCUAAGCUGAAGCCUGAAAUGUGGGGUCUGCUGGGAGCCCCUGGGCUGGCUAGGGUAGUGGGUAAUAAUGUGUGAUGUGACAGAGAACACACUUCGAUGUCCACCGCCCCCCCAGCCCCGCCCAUCGCCCCCCCAACCCCGCCCUUACUGGCUACUUCCCUUUCUCUUCCCGUCUCUCCCGAUACUGUUCUUGAGGGGCAGUUCCAACAUUCUGAAGCACGGGUCUGACAGCCAAGUGAGAGGCUUGGCAAAGAAGACUUAAACUUUUCUUAUGACUGAAUUAAAAACUGGCAAUAAAAAUGUUCCAGCUUGGUGAUUAUACUGAUAA